RNAcentral lists this ribosomal RNA (228 nucleotides) under uncultured Pseudomonadales bacterium. Its description in RNAcentral is "partial 16S ribosomal RNA". It matches the Rfam family "Bacterial small subunit ribosomal RNA", at positions 104 to 334 of the family's 1533-position model. The record is from RNAcentral. Lineage: Bacteria; Pseudomonadati; Pseudomonadota; Gammaproteobacteria; Pseudomonadales.
CGGGGUGAGUAAUGCCUAGGAAUCUGCCUGGUAGUGGGGGACAACGUUUCGAAAGGAACGCUAAUACCGCAUACGUCCUACGGGAGAAAGCAGGGACCUUCGGGCCUUGCGCUAUCAGAUGAGCCUAGGUCGGAUUAGCUAGUUGGUGAGGUAAUGGCUCACCAAGGCGACGAUCCGUAACUGGUCUGAGAGGAUGAUCAGUCACACUGGAACUGAGACACGGUCCAG